GGCGGACGGGUGAGUAACGCGUGGGAAUAUGCCCUUCUCUAAGGAAUAGCCUCGGGAAACUGAGAGUAAUACCUUAUACGCCCUACGGGGGAAAGAUUUAUCGGAGAAGGAUUAGCCCGCGUUAGAUUAGGUAGUUGGUGGGGUAAUGGCCUACCAAGCCUACGAUCUAUAGCUGGUUUGAGAGGAUGAUCAGCCACACUGGGACUGAGACACGGCCCAGACUCCUACGGGAGGCAGCAGUAGGGAAUCUUAGACAAUGGGGGAAACCCUGAUCUAGCCAUGCCGCGUGUGUGAUGAAGGCCUUAGGGUCGUAAAGCACUUUCGCCAGAGAUGAUAAUGACAGUAUCUGGUAAAGAAACCCCGGCUAACUCCGUGCCAGCAGCCGCGGUAAUACGGAGGGGGUUAGCGUUGUUCGGAAUUACUGGGCGUAAAGCGCACGUAGGCGGAUUAGUAAGUUAGAGGUGAAAUCCCAGGGCUCAACCCUGGAACUGCCUUUAAUACUGCUAGUCUUGAGUUCGAGAGAGGUAAGUGGAAUUCCGAGUGUAGAGGUGAAAUUCGUAGAUAUUCGGAGGAACACCAGUGGCGAAGGCGGCUUACUGGCUCGAUACUGACGCUGAGGUGCGAAAGUGUGGGGAGCAAACAGGAUUAGAUACCCUGGUAGUCCACACCGUAAACGAUGAAUGCCAGACGUCAGCAAGU
Molecule: ribosomal RNA, 699 nt
Filed under: uncultured bacterium
Lineage: Bacteria
Description: bacterial SSU rRNA
Rfam family: Bacterial small subunit ribosomal RNA
Source: RNAcentral